This is a long non-coding RNA of Oreochromis niloticus (Nile tilapia), 757 nucleotides long. RefSeq lists it as uncharacterized. The record is from RefSeq and is a predicted model, not a curated record. The transcript is spliced from 3 exons. Lineage: Eukaryota; Metazoa; Chordata; Actinopteri; Cichliformes; Cichlidae.
GAGGAGUCUCGAGGAAGGUAUUUGUCAGACACAGUCAGUCCCAUCAGACCUGUCGAGAAAGCAGGACGCAGGAUUUCUGGAGUUGCCACAACAGUGAAACUAUUUGGCAUUCACCUUAUCACACAGAAUGGCACAACAAGGAAGCAAGUCAGUAAAAUUCCACUGUUCAGUCUGUCUGGAUCUACUGAAGGAUCCAGUCACUAUUCCCUGUGGACACAACUACUGUAUGAGCUGUAUUGAAGGACACUGGGAUAAAGAGGAACCAAAAGGAGCCUACAGCUGUCCUCAGUGCAAAAAGAGUUUUAUAUUGAGGCCUGAGCUGGAGAAAAACACCAUGUUAGCAGCGUUAGUAGAGGACUUGAAGACAUCACCUGAAGAUGUUUCCUGUGAUGUCUGCACAGGAAAGAAGCUGAAAGCAGUGAAGUCCUGUCUGGUAUGUUUGGUUUCUUACUGUGACCAACACCUCCAGCCUCACUAUGAAUCCUCUGCCUUUGACAAACACAAGCUGGUCAAACCUUCCAAGGGGUUGAAAAGUAACAUCUGUUCAACUCACAAUGAGGUGAUGAAGAUGUUCUGCCAUACUGAUCAGCAGUGUAUCUGUUAUGUCUGCUGCAUGGACAAACAUAAACACCAUGUAACAGUUCCAGUUAAAGACGUAAGGGCAGACAAAGAGAAAGAUCUUAAGAUGAAUCUGCAGGAAGUCCAGAAGAAAAUUCAGACCAGAGUGGAGGAAGGUAAAGUGCUUGAGAAAGAGAUG